This 465-nucleotide ribosomal RNA is filed under the name uncultured bacterium. Its description in RNAcentral is "partial 16S ribosomal RNA". It matches the Rfam family "Bacterial small subunit ribosomal RNA", at positions 338 to 795 of the family's 1533-position model. The record is from RNAcentral.
CCUACGGGUGGCAGCAGUGGGGAAUAUUGCGCAAUGGGCGAAAGCCUGACGCAGCGACGCCGCGUGAGGGAUGAAGGUCUUCGGAUCGUAAACCUCUGUCAGCAGGGAAGAACGGUCACUGUGCUAAUCAGCAGUGAAUUGACGGGACCUGCAAAGGAAGCACCGGCUAACGCCGUGCCAGCAGCCGCGGUAAUACGGAGGGUGCGGGCGUUAAUCGGAAUUACUGGGCGUAAAGCGCUCGUAGGCGGUAUGUCCAGUCAAGGGUGAAAUCCCCGCGCUCAACCUGGGAACUGCCUUUGAAACUGGCAAACUGGGGUGUGUGAGAGGAUAGUGGAAUUCGAGGUGUAGGAGUGAAAUCCGUAGAUAUCUGGAGGAACAUCAGUGGCGAAGGCGACUAUCUGGCACAUAACUGACGCUGAGGAGCGAAAGCGUGGGUAGCGAACAGGAUUAGAUACCCCUGUAGUC